Molecule: RNA transcript, 3604 nt
Organism: Fragaria vesca subsp. vesca
Lineage: Eukaryota; Viridiplantae; Streptophyta; Magnoliopsida; Rosales; Rosaceae
Exons: 3
Source: RefSeq, a predicted model, not a curated record
CUCACUCUCUCUCUUUUUAUCUUUGCUUCUCUCUUUUAUCUUCCAUCUAUCUGCCCAGGAGUCCAAGACCAUCCAACUCUUUCAUCCUUGACUUGAUGGAACCCAUGGAUUCUAGAUCGAUCGAGGCCCAGGUCCAUCGGUGAUUAAGCUGCUUCGGUUUGGUUGGAUAAUCGUUGCAGAUCUGGAGAUGUCAAGCGACCAGAGCCACCGCACUCUCCUGUGUGACUUCCUUCUUUUCAUGCUGGGCAGAAAAAGACAGCGACGGAUGAGAUAAUAAAAGAGAGACCAAGAGAACUGGAGACUCUGUUCAUAAGCUGGGAACAGUGCUUCAACUUCAUUAGGAUGGUUUGUCCCUUAGCUCCUACUGUUUCGAGUAGUGAGAAUCUGAUUGGCACUUUUUCUCUCUUAUUUGGAAUCAAGACAGAUCAUAAAAGCAGAAAUUGAUAUCCGCAGAGAUGAGGCAGUGCUGGACCGUAAGAUGCGUGGCUGGAUCUGUUCCUCUCCUGGCGAAAGAGGUCUCCAAGCCAUAUGUACACCUACAUCAACUCUUCCAGAUUAUCAACUCAGCCACCAAGAUCAACAGAGAUAAAAGAGCUUGGUAGAGUAUAGCCCAACAAUUUGAAGUAGGAGGUGAAUGAGAGCGAUUGCUACCAAGACCCCAGAAUUUCUAAGAUCUGUGUUUGAGGUCAGUUUUUUUUUUGGUGUUAUUGAUGACUAUAGUUGUUUUAGUUUUUCGUUAUCCCAAUAGAUUAAAGCUUUGUGUUUUGAAUUACACUUGCCUAUGAGCUGUGUGUUUUUAGGAUUACACUCGGAUAGAUAGAUUCACGAGUGCGUUAGGUUUGCUUGGUUUGUUACUUUUGAAGUUUUAGUGAUGUUUGAAUAUUGUGAAUCAAAUAUAAUCAUUUUUUGGCCUUUUUCUAUGGAUUAGUAGGUGUGGUUCUGAAUUUUUAGUUGUAAGCAUCUGCCUUGUACCAAGAAAGCAAACUCUCUCAAAGUGGGGGACUACAGACCUAUCAGUUUGAUAACAAGCUUGUACAAGAUUAUUGCACAGGUGUUAGCUUGGACAUUGAUAAAGGUUCUAAGUGAUACGAUUUCCUGUGAUCAGGGUGCAUUCAUAAAAGGAAGACGUAUAUUAGAUGAAGUUUUGGUGGCUAACAAGGUAGUUGAUGAGACAAGGAAGAAGAAAAGAGAGGAGCUGGUCUUUAAAAUUGAUUUUGAGAAAGCUUAUGAUCAUGUAGAGUGGAAUAUCUAGGAAAUCCAUUUUAGGUGGCAACCCAAAAGGAGCCUUGUUUUGGAACCCAGUAGUAGAGAGAGUUGAGAAGAGAUUGGAGGGUUGAAAAAAGCUUUUCUAUUAAGAGGGGUUAGACUGACAUUGAUUCAAGCAGUUCUAAGCUGCCCUCCAACUUAUUAUUUAUCUCUAUUUCAAAUUCCGGUGGGAGUCGCAAAGAGGUUAGAAUCUCUUUCUUUUGGGAUGGAGUUGGACAGGGCAAGAAAGACCAUCUUCUUAAUUAGUAGUGGACUAGACCCAAUCUUUGCGCCUGCAAAGUUUAUUUGGAACUCCAAGGCCCCUACUAAGGUAAAAAUAUUGGGUUGGCUUGUGGCAUACGAGAGGAUGAAUACUUGUGAUGUUCUUCAAAGAAGAAGACCAAGCUGUUGUUUUUCCCCUCAUUGGUGCAUUUUGUGCAAAGCUCAAGGGGAAAGUGUUGAUCAUGUCUUUACGCAUUGUGAAGUUGUUAACUUUUUAUGGAAGAAAUUAUUUAGGGAGGCAAAAGUGGUCUGGACAGCUCCAUCAGAGAGGAAUGAUUUGUUUGAAAAAAAUCUAUCAGCUUUGGAAAAGGGAAUAAAGCCAGAAUUCUUUGGGGCUGUGGGGUGUUAGCGGUAGUCUGGGUGGUCUGGAUGGAAAGAAAUAGAAGAAUAUUUGAAACCUAAAGUUCAACCUUUCAUUUCUUCCACAAUCCGCAAAUACCAAAACUGAUAUUGCUUUUUUCUUUACUUGUGUGUGCAAGGAUGUAUAAUGAACGACAGAAGUCACAUAAAGAAACUGUUAAGACUACAAUCCCUAGUAGUGAUGAAAUUACUUUGAUUUCAGUUGAGGUUGAUCAAGAAAGUCCUGAAGAGCUUGACAAUAUUGAAAGAAACACAGUGCAGCUGAACCAUGAGGUUCAUGCACUUGAGAAAAGGAAGGAGAGAAAAGAGAUGUGAGAUAAAUGAUAGAUACAGGUUGUAACUGUAGGAUGGGUACUUCUCUGGAUAAAAACAAGCUUAUGAGUGAUGCUUUGAAGUCUUGGGGGGGGGUGGGGUUCAGACUUUGUCCCUUAUGUUAUCCCUUAGGAGCAUGUUGAAUCUGCUAACCACAAUCUUCAGCCGAUUUCAUCUGUGUAUCAACGCGAAUAUGGGUGCAUGUUCUGUGGUGAAUGUUUUUAAGGCACUGUAAUGUUUAAGCAUUACAUUGAGGGUUCAAACAAGGUUAGUCACUAUGUUUUCUGGGUUUGAUAAGAAGGUUUGGGAUAAAGGAAGUGGUCACUCUCUCUUAACAGAUGAACAUUUGAGUUCGCCUUUUGCUGAUAAGUUUAAAAAGGAAAAGAAAUGGUAGAAGGAUGUGUGAUAACAUUUGGAGUAGAUGGAAAUCAGAAGCUCAUACCAAACUUGCAAGUGAAGGCAAUGCAAAUGAGCUUGAUUUUUUUGUUAGGGAAGGGCUCAAGCGUGACAAUGGGACGAUGAUGUGGUCUACUGACGCACAAUCUGAAGCAAAGUUAUGGCAAUGGCUCAUUCCUUGUUAUUGUGCAACAAAGAAGCCUAUUAAUUUUCAUAGUGAAGCAUUCGACAAAAUGAGUGACCCAUUACCUCAGGUAUUCAUUACCAUCAUUUCCGGUCCUCGAGCAGCUUUUGAUGGGGUAUGGUGUGACUUAUUAAGCUCUAUAUUGUGUUCUAUAUUGCUUUCAAGAAUACUUUGCUUCCUGAUGAGUCAUUUGGGAUAAUGAUUAAAAGUAUGCAGGUUGAAGGUGCAGCCAAUAUGUCUCGGUUCUGGACCAUGAUGUUUAAAAGCCAAUAUGCAGAAGUAAAGCUUGUGACAAAUCCUAUAGCUAUUUGCUGUUCAAUCCCAUAGUUACAGCAAAAUUCUACCAUAAUCAACAAGAAUGAAUAGUUUGGAAUGUACCUGUGGUUCAGCAACCUCAUGACUAGUCUUUCACAAAAGCAGUGAAUGAGGUCGAUGGCUUUAUUUGUGCUCUCCAUCUGUAUUAAUAUGUCGGCCUGUGGCAAAACAUACGUUAAAAGUAUGUAACAAACUCCUAUUAUUAUGUUGUCGUUAAAAAGGAAAAUAAUAAUCAGUACCCGCAGUAGGGCCUCUUGAGGUUGACCAACAUUGAGGUACUCAACGAUCUGUUCCUCAUAAUUCUUGUUGAUUUCCUUUAUAUUUUCUCGAAGAUCAGCAAUUGAGUUCAAUACCCGAUUGAGUGCAGAUAGCCUAAUUUACAAUGAGAAUGGACCAAUGAGAAAGAGAGUAGCAAUUUAAAAUCAAACUAAAAUCUAGGAAGUGAGAUAACAGUAGGAAACAUACAACUUGCUCAAUUUACGCUCUUCCAAAUUGCCAAUAAAACAGCUG